GACGAACGCUGGCGGCGUGCUUAACACAUGCAAGUCGAACGGAAAGGCCCUGCUUGCAGGGUACUCGAGUGGCGAACGGGUGAGUAACACGUGGGUGAUCUGCCCUGCACUUCGGGAUAAGCCUGGGAAACUGGGUCUAAUACCGGAUAGGAGCCAUUUUUAGUGUGAUGGUUGGAAAGUUUUUUCGGUGUAGGAUGAGCUCGCGGCCUAUCAGCUUGUUGGUGGGGUAAUGGCCUACCAAGGCGGCGACGGGUAGCCGGCCUGGGAGGGUGGACGGCCACAUUGGGACUGGGAGCCGGCCCAGACUCCUACGGGAGGCGGAAGGGGGGAAUAUUGCACAAGGGGCGCAAGCCUGAUGCAGCGACGCCGCGUGGGGGAGGACGGCCUUCGGGUUGUAAACUCCUUUCGCUAGGGACGAAGCUUUUUGUGACGGUACCUAGAUAAGAAGCACCGGCUAACUACGUG
This 465-nucleotide ribosomal RNA is filed under the name uncultured bacterium. Its description in RNAcentral is "partial 16S ribosomal RNA". It matches the Rfam family "Bacterial small subunit ribosomal RNA", at positions 28 to 507 of the family's 1533-position model. The record is from RNAcentral.